AUUGAACGCUGGCGGCAUGCCUUACACAUGCAAGUCGAACGGCAGCACGGGAGCAAUCCUGGUGGCGAGUGGCGAACGGGUGAAUAAUGUAUCGGAACGUACCUUUCAGUGGGGGAUAACGUAGCGAAAGUUACGCUAAUACCGCAUAUUCUGUGAGCAGGAAAGCAGGGGAUCGCAAGACCUUGCGCUGAUUGAGCGGCCGAUAUCAGAUUAGCUAGUUGGUGAGGUAAAGGCUCACCAAGGCGACGAUCUGUAGCGGGUCUGAGAGGAUGAUCCGCCACACUGGAACUGAGACACGGUCCAGACUCCUACGGGAGGCAGCAGUGGGGAAUUUUGGACAAUGGGCGCAAGCCUGAUCCAGCCAUGCCGCGUGAGUGAAGAAGGCCUCGGUU
This 392-nucleotide ribosomal RNA is filed under the name uncultured bacterium. RNAcentral's name for it is "bacterial SSU rRNA". It matches the Rfam family "Bacterial small subunit ribosomal RNA", at positions 30 to 424 of the family's 1533-position model. The record is from RNAcentral.